RNAcentral lists this ribosomal RNA (252 nucleotides) under uncultured bacterium. RNAcentral's name for it is "partial 16S ribosomal RNA". It matches the Rfam family "Bacterial small subunit ribosomal RNA", at positions 524 to 776 of the family's 1533-position model. The record is from RNAcentral.
UACGAAGGGGGCUAGCGUUGUUCGGAUUUACUGGGCGUAAAGCGCACGUAGGCGGUUUGUUAAGUGAGAGGUGAAAUCCCAGAGCUCAACUCUGGAACUGCCUUUCAUACUGGCAGCUAGAGUCCGGAAGAGGUAAGUGGAACUCCUAGUGUAGAGGUGGAAUUCGUAGAUAUUAGGAAGAACACCAGUGGCGAAGGCGGCUUACUGGUCCGGAACUGACGCUGAGGUGCGAAAGCGUGGGGAGCAAACAGG